This 443-nucleotide ribosomal RNA is filed under the name uncultured bacterium. RNAcentral describes it as "partial 16S ribosomal RNA". It matches the Rfam family "Bacterial small subunit ribosomal RNA", at positions 338 to 795 of the family's 1533-position model. The record is from RNAcentral.
CCUACGGGGGGCAGCAGUGGGGAAUAUUGGGCAAUGGGCGCAAGCCUGACCCAGCAACGCCGCGUGAAGGAAGAAGGCUUUCGGGUUGUAAACUUCUUUUCUUAGGGACGAAGCAAGUGACGGUACCCAAGGAAUAAGCCACGGCUAACUACGUGCCAGCAGCCGCGGUAAUACGUAGGUGGCAAGCGUUAUCCGGAUUUACUGGGGGUAAAGGGCGUGUAGGCGGGAAAGCAAGUCAGAUGUGAAAACCAUGGGCUCAACCUGUGGCCUGCAUUUGAAACUGUUUUUCUUGAGUGCUGGAGAGGCAGACGGAAUUCCUAGUGUAGCGGUGGAAUGCGUAGAUAUUAGGAGGAACACCAGUGGCGAAGGCGGUCUUCUGGACAGCAACUGACGCUGAGGCGCGAAAGUGUGGGGAGCAAACAGGAUUAGAUACCCUUGUAGUC